Molecule: long non-coding RNA, 437 nt
Organism: Colletes gigas
Lineage: Eukaryota; Metazoa; Arthropoda; Insecta; Hymenoptera; Colletidae
Exons: 3
Source: RefSeq, a predicted model, not a curated record
GGUAAAUCUGCCAUAACUGCAUUUGUUAGUACUGCGUUUGGAUCGGCAGCAGUUCUACCAGCUUUCAAAGAUCCUCCUGUAGAAGGUUUUAAGCCAAGUAUCCAGACAAGAUGCUGCAAUGUCUUAUUUCUACUCACCAACUGGUAGAGAUGCGGUAGGCAAUGGAGUACCAACAGCAACUACCUGUUGCCGAUAAUCCGGUUCUCCAAUAGUUAAAUUGUAUUGAGUGGAAUCUUGUUGUCUUGCGCUCGGUAUACCCUGGGGAGCAUUAUACAAUACGGUCAAUGCAUAGUGAGGAGAUUCGUCGGUGCUAACAAUUAUAAUAAAAAAGAAAUUAUCUUUGUAUACUAUGGAAACAAUUUUAAAUAUAAAAUAAAAUAAUUAAUGUAAACAUUAAUAUUUUUUACCUGGCAUCUAUGAGCGGACUUAACGCUGCU